RNAcentral lists this non-coding RNA (20 nucleotides) under Arabidopsis thaliana (thale cress). Lineage: Eukaryota; Viridiplantae; Streptophyta; Magnoliopsida; Brassicales; Brassicaceae. The record is from RNAcentral.
UGUCAAAAUGGGUAACCCAA